This 411-nucleotide ribosomal RNA is filed under the name uncultured bacterium. Its description in RNAcentral is "partial 16S ribosomal RNA". It matches the Rfam family "Bacterial small subunit ribosomal RNA", at positions 338 to 765 of the family's 1533-position model. The record is from RNAcentral.
CCUACGGGUGGCAGCAGUGGGGAAUAUUGCACAAUGGGGGAAACCCUGAUGCAGCGACGCCGCGUGAGCGAGGAAGUAUUUCUGUAUGUAAAGCUCUAUCAGCAGGGACGAAAAACGACGUUCCCUUACUCAGCCUCCCCGGCUAACUACGUGCCAGCAGCCGCGGUAAUACGUAGGGGGCAAGCGUUAUCCGGAUUUACUGGGGGUAAAGGGCGCGUAGACGGCACGGCAAGCCAGAAGUGAAAGUGCAGGGCUCAACCCUGUACAUGCGUUUUGAACGGUGGUGCUAGAGGGGAGGUGAGGUAAGUGGAAGUCCGAGUGUAGGGGUGAAAUGCGUAGAUAUUAGGAGGAACACGAGUGGCGAAGGAGGAUGACGGGACUGGAACUGACGUGGAGGAUCGAAAGCGUGGG